UGAACGCUGGCGGCAUGCUUUACACAUGCAAGUCGAACGGUAACAGGCCGCAAGGUGCUGACGAGUGGCGAACGGGUGAGUAAUGCAUCGGAACGUGCCCAGUCGUGGGGGAUAACUACUCGAAAGAGUAGCUAAUACCGCAUACGAUCUAUGGAUGAAAGCGGGGGACCGUAAGGCCUCGCGCGAUUGGAGCGGCCGAUGUCAGAUUAGGUAGUUGGUGGGGUAAAGGCUCACCAAGCCAACGAUCUGUAGCUGGUCUGAGAGUACGACCAGCCACACUGGAACUGAGACACGGCCCAGACUCCUACGGGAGGCAGCAGUGGGGAAUUUUGGACAAUGGGCGCAAGCCUGAUCCAGCAAUGCCGCGUGCAGGAAGAAGGCCUUCGGGUUGUAAACUGCUUUUGUACGGAACGAAACGGCUCUGGUUAAUACCCGGGGCUAAUGACGGUACCGUAAGAAUAAGCACCGGCUAACUACGUG
Molecule: ribosomal RNA, 480 nt
Filed under: uncultured bacterium
Lineage: Bacteria
Description: partial 16S ribosomal RNA
Rfam family: Bacterial small subunit ribosomal RNA
Source: RNAcentral